UUCUAGGGCAAAUAACAUACUGGUUCUUACUCCCUCCGUUUUAUAAUUAGUAUUUUUAUUGUUAUGAGAUGAUAAAAUAUGAAUAGUACUUUAUGUGUGACUUAUGUUUUUUAAAUUUUUCAAAACAAUUUCAAAUAAGACGAACGGUCAAAGUUGUGCACGGAAAAUCAUGGCUGCACUUAAA
Oryza glumipatula is the source of this 184-nucleotide non-coding RNA. The record is from Rfam. NCBI's taxonomy places the organism in Eukaryota, Viridiplantae, Streptophyta, Magnoliopsida, Poales, Poaceae.